RNAcentral lists this ribosomal RNA (465 nucleotides) under uncultured bacterium. Its description in RNAcentral is "bacterial SSU rRNA". It matches the Rfam family "Bacterial small subunit ribosomal RNA", at positions 339 to 796 of the family's 1533-position model. The record is from RNAcentral.
CUACGGGAGGCAGCAGUGGGGAAUAUUGCGCAAUGCCCGCAAGGGUGACGCAGCGACGCCGCGUGGGUGAAGAAGCACUAAGGUGUGUAAAGCCCUGUCAGAAGGGAAGAACGGCGAUGUUUCGAAAGGGGCAUCGUGUGACGGUACCUUCAGAGGAAGCUCCGGCUAACUCCGUGCCAGCAGCCGCGGUAAUACGUAGGUGACGAACGUUAUCCGGAAUCACUGGGCGUAAAGGGUCCGCAGGUGGCAUGUCAAGUCGAUUGUGAAAGCUCCCGGCUCAACUGGGAGAGGACGGUCGAAACUGGCAAACUAGAGUCCGACAGAGGUCGGCGGAAUUCCCGGUGUAGUGGUGGAAUGCGUAGAUAUCGGGAGGAACGCCAAAAGCGAAAGCAGCCGGCUGGGUCGAGACUGACACUGAGGGACGAAAGCGUGGGUAGCGAACAGGAUUAGAAACCCUAGUAGUCC